CGGAGGAAAAGAAAUUAACAAAGAUUCCCUCAGUAACGGCGAGUGAAGUGGGAAGUAGCCCAGCACCGAAUCCUCGCGGCCUCGCGCCGUGCGGACCUGUGGUGUUUGGGGCCCCGGCUUUCGUCCAGCGUUCGCGCACCUCAGUCGCAUUGAAGGGGCUCUCGCUCCAGAGCGGGUGUCAGGCCCUUGUGGCUGCGCGACCGGGCGAAGGUUCCAGGGGACCCUCGAGUCGGGUUGUUUGAGAGUGCAGCCCAAAGACGGUGGUAAGCACCAUCGAAGGCUAAAUAUGUCCACGAGUCCGACAGCGAACAAGUACCGUGAGGGAACGUUGAAAAGGACUUCUGAGUGAGAGUUCAAAGCAGUCGGCGAUGCCGGCACGUGGGCGAACGUCCUCGC
This 396-nucleotide ribosomal RNA is filed under the name Coccocrater sp. MNHN IM 2013-41044. RNAcentral describes it as "partial large subunit ribosomal RNA". It matches the Rfam family "Eukaryotic large subunit ribosomal RNA", at positions 51 to 432 of the family's 3401-position model. Lineage: Eukaryota; Metazoa; Mollusca; Gastropoda; Cocculinidae. The record is from RNAcentral.